AAAUUAUAUAAAAUAAUAUGAUAUUGAAGGUAUCAAGGUUAUAAAAAUUAUUUAAAUUUGUUGUCAAAUGAUAAAAUACAUAGAUUUUUGUUUACUUGAUAUAUUACAAUUUGUUUCUGAUUGGUCUUAUCCAUCUCUUGAGAAUAUCAGCAUACUUUUUAGAAUUCUUUCUAAUACACAUGACAGACAAAAUACAUUUUUAAUGAUUUAUUAGUCAUCUUGAGAAUAAAAUCACCAAUUACAAAAACCAUAGAUAGGUUGGGUAUAAAUAUAUUUGAAGAUUUAAAGUAUUAAUUUUGUAUUUCAUUUGUUAUUGAGUUACCUAUAUUCAAAUUGAAAAAACCACGUUUUUUUUACAUUUAAAUGAGUAGUUAAAUUGUAGACAAUGUUAUUAAAUAUUAUUUUUGUAAUAUUUAGAUAAAAUGAUGUGUUAAAUUAUCAAAAGUAUUAUUGUCUAUAGUUUUUGGAAUAGAAGAUUUUAGUAUUACAUAAAAACUAUAUAAACAAUCUUGUGUGAAUGAAUUUUGACUCUAUUAUGAGUUGCGGGUGGGUCUAACGCAAAUAGUGCGCUGAUGAUUUAAUUUAUUAUAAAAGGUAUUUGAAAGAGCUUAUUAAUUAAGUUAUAUAUUAAUGAUUUAAGUCUAUUAGUGUAUACAGAUAUAGAAUUGUUUACUUUAAAACAGAAUUUUAUACUUAGGUAUGUCGGGGGAGUUAUAAAAUGUUUUGUAAAUUUAACCAUCAUACUCUGGGUUAGAAAACAUUAUUUGGUCUAAAGGAAUUUGUUUAGGAAAUUAAAUUUUUGUUAUUUAAGUUUGGUCUAUUAUAGGUAGUAAGUUCUAAGAUUAGCAAAAUACUACAAUAUAAUCUAAUUUCUAUAUUAAUAUGAACAGUAACGGGCUCAGAAAUUGUAGAUGGGGAGUGUAUGAUUGAAGCUGCCAUAAUUGAUAUAUAACAGAUAUUAAUAAUAAUAUUUGUGGAAAAUAUAAAAAUAUAUUAAAAGGAAGUUACACCGACACUUAUUGUCUCUGUCUUACAAGUGUACAACAUAGUAAAUUGUAUGCUCAGCAAAACACUUUUAGCUCCGUUAGUUAAACAAUUUGAGCAAAUGACCUCUUAUAAAAUUUAAAGGUAAGAUUAUUAUCUAGGCAAUCUUAUGGGCUUUUUAUUAUAAUUUAAUUUUAAAGCGACUUGUAAAUCUUAAAAUACUCAUAACUCACUUUAAAAUUAAAAUAUAAUAAAAAUGAGAUUAGAUUGCCUAGGUACUUUUAAAUUGUGUAACAAAUCAAUUCACUCUAAUUUUAACUGACAGAGCUACAUGUGUUCUGUUGAGCGUACAAUUUGCUAUGUUACGCACUUGUAAGACAGAGACAACGAGUCCUCUUAAUGGUAAAUAAUUACAAACAUAUCUUUUUUUAUUUAUUAUUUUUUAAAAGCUUUUAUCAUUUGUACAUAUAAUAGAUUUGUAUGAUAUUGAAACACAUUUUAAGCUAGGAAAACAUCAUCUAUAAAGUUUCAAAAAAAGGAUGCAAAUGUCAUUAACAUUUGGGUCCAACUAAUUACAUACUUAUUAAUUCCUCUAACACACAAUUAAUGAAAAAAGAGGUUUGAUGUUGCAAUGUAAAUAACUACAGCUGCUUGACUUAACUUGGCUUGCUUAUUUGGGAAAAUAAGUGAUAUAUUCAGUAAACAUUGUGUUGUUUUCGACAACUAGUGACAUGGUUAAGUCAGCUUUUAUGAAAAUUAGUAUUUGUAGCUGUAGUAAUGUGGAAAUAUGGAAAAAAGCUUUAGAGGUAUUCCACAACCACUCUACUUGUGGUUAUUAUCAUGUAACUUCUGUUGUUAAAUAAACACAAUUCAUUUUUCAAAAAACCAACCAAAAAUAAAUCAAUGAAGAUAGGUUUGUACUUAUAUACUUAAUAAUAAUAAUAAUGGGUGUUUUACUGUUUUAAAUUAUUAGGUAAAUUAACAUAGUAUAAACUAUUGUUUCAAUAGGAUAGCUACAAUUUAAAAUAUAGGAAAAUUGAAAGAAACAUGUACCAAUGAAUUGAAUGUAUCAUAUUUGUAUAUCGAUGUCUAGAAAUGUCCAGGUUUGCUACAAAAUGAAUGUAAAUGGUUUGUAAGAUUUAUACAGGUACUUAAUAAUAUAAUUAUUUAAUUUUACAUUAUCCAGAGGAAUUGUUUAAUGAUAUUAACAUUUUUGUGUAAUUUUAAGAAUAUAUAGAGUGAAAGGAGAUGGUUUUUUCAAUUUUAUUUUAUAUAACAAUAUUGCAUUAAUAUAUUUCAGUACCUAUUUAAAGUUAAUAUUAUAAUCACUAGCACCUCCAGGUAAAUGCAUGAGCCAAGAAUACAAUUUUGUUUUGUUAAAACGGGAUCUAUGAACAGUAAAAAUUAAUAUCCCCUCCCCCUUUAAUAAAAAAACUAAGUACGUCACUGAAUAUGAAUAAUCCAGGAUUUUAAUGUUAUGACACAUUAUUGUUGAUAAUACUAAAAUAGAUUAGUUAACUUGUUAAUUAUAUAAAUAUGUGUAUACUAUUUUAUAGGCUACAAAUGUCUUGUUUAUUCACGGGUAAUUUAAAGAGAUCAGAUUUUGUCCCAGACUCAAAAUUAUUUAUUACACUUAAUAAUACAUUGCCUUCACUUAAGGCCCGUAUUACAAUAGUUCAACUAAGAUGUUUAAAAUUCAGCUGGUAAAAUUAGUGGGUUAAGCGUAACCGAGGAUUAAACUAUGAUUGUUAACAAGCCCUUAGUAAGAUAUAUUAUUAUAGUAAUAAUUAGUAAAUAAAAUCGAAAUGGUAAAAUAUUAAUUUUAAUUGGCUGUAUACUCCAAUUUUAUAUACACUUUUGGCAAUUUAACCAUUUGAUAAAAAAGUAGAUUCUUUCCUAAAGUAAUCAAUACUUCCACCUCAUAUGUCAGCUUAUUUUUCACACCACAAAUAGGUAAUUGUAAAUGCAUGCUCACCCAAAUUUAUAAAAAGUGUUCAUUUUAAAAUAUGGAUUUAUUAAGUUUAUUUGAAUAGUUAAAAAAUUGAGAUAUUAUAUUCUAUGAAUUGACAUAAAUAUUUUAAUAGCAUACUAAACUUUAAGAAGAUGACAGCAUAAUAUAAGUUGUACCUAUUAUCUCGCUCUAAACUUCUCAUUUUGUACCCAAAAUAUUCAAAAACGAGACAAAAAUGACCAAUUACAUGAUUUGGAACAGUUAUAUUUUGUAUUAUGUUAUAAUAUUUGAAAGUUUACUACAUUUUAAUAGUUAAGCCCCAAAAACAAAUAGUAUCAAUUUUAAACAAAAAAAGGUGGGUAAGUGGAUGUUGCUCUGCUGUUCAGUAGGUUACAAGUGGGUCACUGUAAUGUAUGGUGUUAAAUUUGAAUUUGAUGAUAUAAUAUCAUUGUAUAAGAAAAACGAUUUUGAGCGAAAACGGUCAGUCGGCCUAUGAUAUUACUAAGUACAUUUGAUGAUAUUAUUGUGAAUAAAGUAAUUUAUAUAAUAUUUUCCUAUUUACGUGGAACCUUGUUUUAAAUUUUAACUUUAAAUGAUUAUAAAAAAAAUUGUGCUUAUGUAUUUUUAAUAUUUUUCAACUAUAGAACGAUGUAUCAGGAGUCUUAUAUUAAAUUUUCACGCUUUUUACCCAACAAUUAAAAUUUUAUUGAUACUUAUAGAAAAAAAAACUAUAAAAAUUUAAAA
This is a long non-coding RNA of Metopolophium dirhodum (rose-grain aphid), 3679 nucleotides long. RefSeq lists it as uncharacterized. Lineage: Eukaryota; Metazoa; Arthropoda; Insecta; Hemiptera; Aphididae. The record is from RefSeq and is a predicted model, not a curated record. The transcript has 2 exons.